UACGAAGGGGGCUAGCGUUGCUCGGAAUCACUGGGCGUAAAGGGUGCGUAGGCGGGUCUUUAAGUCAGGGUGAAAUCCUGGAGCUCAACUCCAGAACUGCCUUUGAUACUGAGGAUCUUGAGUUCGGGAGAGGUGAGUGGAACUGCGAGUGUAGAGGUGAAAUUCGUAGAUAUUCGCAAGAACACCAGUGGCGAAGGCGGCUCACUGGCCCGAUACUGACGCUGAGGCACGAAAGCGUGGGGAGCAAACAGGG
Molecule: ribosomal RNA, 253 nt
Filed under: uncultured bacterium
Lineage: Bacteria
Description: partial 16S ribosomal RNA
Rfam family: Bacterial small subunit ribosomal RNA
Source: RNAcentral